RNAcentral lists this long non-coding RNA (690 nucleotides) under Gallus gallus (chicken). The record is from RNAcentral. Lineage: Eukaryota; Metazoa; Chordata; Aves; Galliformes; Phasianidae.
GGGGGAAGAGCGGAAUUGGUCUGCCUUAGUAGUAGUAGUAUUUAUAUAUUUUGAUAAUGCUUUGAAUUGCAGUUUACUUCUGAAACCUUGCCCUUUGAAAAGCACACACCCUUUAAGUUGACAAUUUUUUUUUCAGGCUUCUGUUCCUUUAAAAUUCUCUUCUUUUCGUUUUUACUGCUCUUUUUCAAUUAUCUACCAGAAAACUUGCUUUCUUCCAGCAGAAACGUGGGGCUGGCGGGCUCGGGCUUUCACUGCACCCGCUCUGUGAAAUUCUCUGGGAAAACCCCUCGGCAUUGGUCAAGUUCCUUAUGCUGGAUCCAGUCAGACUCCUUCACACCCAUCAGCCAUCCUUCAUCCUGCUCCUCAGGGUUCUCAAAUGGAAUCACAAGCACCACAUCCCCGGCCUUCAGCUGUAACUCAUCACUGUCAGUAGCUGUGUAAUCAUGCAUAGCCUGGACCUUGAACAGAAAUCCUGGGGGCAUGUCAGCUCUUUCAGAGGAAGCGCCUCCUUCCACGGUGCCAUUGACAGUAGCAGGGAAAGUCUCCACAACGACAGCGGGCAAAGAGCUCGAUCCUGAAUCACCUUCAGUUUUAGAUGCUUCAGCUCCAGCUGCUGCUUCAGAUCCAGCUGCUUCAGCUCCUGCAUGGGCUGCUUCUGUAGGCUGAGAAGCAGGUGUGGGGGUCUUCCCC